CCCUUAGACGUUCUGGGCCGCACGCGCGCUACACUGACCAGUGCAACAAGCAUCCGUCCUUGGCCGACAGGCCCGGGCAAUCUUUGAACGCUGGUCGUGAUGGGGAUAGACUUUUGCAAUUUUUGGUCUUCAACGAGGAAUUCCUAGUAAACGCAAGUCAUCAACUUGCAAUGAUUACGUCCCUGCCCUUUGUACACACCGCCCGUCGUACCUACCGAUUGAAUGGUCCGGUGAAGCCUCCGGAUUGGCGCGCACCUCGGUGCCGCCGAGAAGUUGGCUAAACCUUACCAUUUAGAGGAAGGCGAAGUCGUAACA
This 315-nucleotide ribosomal RNA is filed under the name uncultured eukaryote. RNAcentral describes it as "partial 18S ribosomal RNA". It matches the Rfam family "Eukaryotic small subunit ribosomal RNA", at positions 1470 to 1796 of the family's 1831-position model. The record is from RNAcentral.